UAGGGAAUCUUCCGCAAUGGGCGAAAGCCUGACGGAGCAACGCCGCGUGAGUGAUGAAGGUCUUCGGAUCGUAAAACUCUGUUAUUAGGGAAGAACAAAUGUGUAAGUAACUAUGCACGUCUUGACGGUACCUAAUCAGAAAGCCACGGCUAACUACGUGCCAGCAGCCGCGGUAAUACGUAGGUGGCAAGCGUUAUCCGGAAUUAUUGGGCGUAAAGCGCGCGUAGGCGGUUUUUUAAGUCUGAUGUGAAAGCCCACGGCUCAACCGUGGAGGGGCAUUGGAAACUGGAAAACUUGAGGGCAGAAGAGGAAAGUGGAAUUCCAUGUGUAGCGGUGAAAUGCGCAGAGAUAUGGAGGAACACCAGUGGCGAAGGCGACUUUCUGGUCUGUAACUGACGCUGAUGUGCGAAAGCGUGGGGAUCAAACAGG
RNAcentral lists this ribosomal RNA (429 nucleotides) under Actinomycetes bacterium. Its description in RNAcentral is "Actinobacteria bacterium partial 16S ribosomal RNA". It matches the Rfam family "Bacterial small subunit ribosomal RNA", at positions 355 to 776 of the family's 1533-position model. The record is from RNAcentral. Lineage: Bacteria; Bacillati; Actinomycetota; Actinomycetes.